GAUGAACGCUAGCUACAGGCUUAACACAUGCAAGUCGAGGGACCGGCGCACGGGUGAGUACCACGUAUCCAACCUGCCCUUUUCUCGGGGAUAGCCUUUCGAAAGAAAGAUUAAUACCCGAUGUAAAGUAUGGGGAUGCGUUCCAUUAGGUUGUUGGUGAGGUAACGGCAAACCAAGCCUUCGAUGGAUAGGGGUUCUGAGAGGAAGGUCCCCCACAUUGGAACUGAGACACGGUCCAAACUCCUACGAGAGGCAGGAGUGAGGAAUAUUGGUCAAUGGGCGUUAGCCUGAAACAGCCAAGUAGCGUGAAGGAUGAAGGCUUAUGGGUCGUAAACUUCUUGUAUAUAAGAAUAUGUAUUAUAUGAAUAAGGAUCGGCUAACUCCGUGCCAGCAGCCGCGGUAAUAC
This 406-nucleotide ribosomal RNA is filed under the name uncultured bacterium. Its description in RNAcentral is "partial 16S ribosomal RNA". It matches the Rfam family "Bacterial small subunit ribosomal RNA", at positions 28 to 526 of the family's 1533-position model. The record is from RNAcentral.